RNAcentral lists this ribosomal RNA (459 nucleotides) under uncultured bacterium. Its description in RNAcentral is "partial 16S ribosomal RNA". It matches the Rfam family "Bacterial small subunit ribosomal RNA", at positions 338 to 795 of the family's 1533-position model. The record is from RNAcentral.
CCUACGGGAGACAGCAGUGAGGAAUAUUGGUCAAUGGUCGGGAGACUGAACCAGCCAAGCCGCGUGAGGGAUGAAGGUACAGAGUAUCGUAAACCUCUUUUGUCAGGGAACAAAGACGGGGACGCGUCCCCGGAUGAGUGUACCUGAAGAAAAAGCAUCGGCUAACUCCGUGCCAGCAGCCGCGGUAAUACGGAGGAUGCGAGCGUUAGCCGGAUUUAUGGGGGUUAAAGGGUGCGCAGGCGGUCUGUUAAGUCAGCGGUCAAAGCCCGGGGCUCAACCCCGGCCCGCCGUUGAAACUGGCAGUCUCGAGUUGGAGAGAAGUAUGCGGAAUGCGCGGUGUAGCGGUGAAAUGCAUAGAUAUCGCGCAGAACUCCGAUUGCGAAGGCAGCAUGCCGGCUCCACACUGACGCUGAGGCACGAAAGCGUGGGUAUCGAACAGGAUUAGAUACCCCAGUAGUC